CACGCUAUAAAGCGCCUUUGGGAGGCUGAUGUCGAGAUCCCAUCAGAAACUGCUGCUGCCUAUGCUGAACUGAUCCGCUUGGAACCAGCAUUCGCAUAUGUAUAUCCAGAUUUAUAUUCAUAUCAUGAUUAUCCCGGUACAGAUUCUGUGUGAAGGGCGGUCGCACAGUUGUUAAACUAAACAAAUGGGCUGGACCCAGAGUACCCGGUAUCACUUCUAAAGUGGGGGAUCCAUCAGCUGGUGCCAAAGUUGAAAAUCAUGUGUCGCCAGCAGAUUCUUAAAUUUACGGAUCCUUUGGGUUGCAAGUAUACUUGUUAAUAUU
This 322-nucleotide long non-coding RNA is filed under the name Helianthus annuus (common sunflower). Its description in RNAcentral is "hypothetical non coding rna". The record is from RNAcentral. Lineage: Eukaryota; Viridiplantae; Streptophyta; Magnoliopsida; Asterales; Asteraceae.